CCUCAACUGAAACAACUUAUGUCGGUUUCUGGCUGACCUGAUUGCUGAUAUUCAAGCAUGGCGCCUAGUUUAUUUAUUUAUAUCAGUUAUUCUACAUCGAUCUCUUACCAACAUGCCACUAUAUUUAUGUACAGUUGUCUAACAGCUGUCAUACAGCUCAACUGUAACUAUCUUUUAGUAAUAUUCCAGUCCAUUUGCCUCGUGGGCACCCCACGAUCUCUAUAUAGC
RNAcentral lists this long non-coding RNA (228 nucleotides) under Elaeis guineensis (African oil palm). Its description in RNAcentral is "long non-coding RNA (EGUI_LNC045933)". The record is from RNAcentral. Lineage: Eukaryota; Viridiplantae; Streptophyta; Magnoliopsida; Arecales; Arecaceae.